AAUAGCCCAGAGGGUGACGGUACCUCCAGAAGAAGCCCCGGCUAACUACGUGCCAGCAGCCGCGGUAAUACGUAGGGGGCAAGCGUUGUCCGGAUUUAUUGGGCGUAAAGAGCGUGUAGGCGGCUUCACAGGUCCGCUGUGAAAACUCGAGGCUCAACCUCGAGCUGUCGGUGGAAACCGUGUGGCUAGAGUCCGGAAGAGGAGAGUGGAAUUCCUGGUGUAGCGGUGAAAUGCGCAGAUAUCAGGAAGAACACCCGUGGCGAAGGCGGCUCUCUGGGACGGUACUGACGCUGAGACGCGAAAGCGUGGGGAGCAAACAGGAUUAGAUACCCUAGUAGUCCAC
Molecule: ribosomal RNA, 343 nt
Filed under: Klebsiella pneumoniae
Lineage: Bacteria; Pseudomonadati; Pseudomonadota; Gammaproteobacteria; Enterobacterales; Enterobacteriaceae
Description: bacterial SSU rRNA
Rfam family: Bacterial small subunit ribosomal RNA
Source: RNAcentral